Molecule: ribosomal RNA, 252 nt
Filed under: uncultured Anaplasma sp.
Lineage: Bacteria; Pseudomonadati; Pseudomonadota; Alphaproteobacteria; Rickettsiales; Anaplasmataceae
Description: partial 16S ribosomal RNA
Rfam family: Bacterial small subunit ribosomal RNA
Source: RNAcentral
CAGCAGCCGCGGUAAUACGGAGGGGGCAAGCGUUGUUCGGAAUUAUUGGGCGUAAAGGGCAUGUAGGCGGUUUGGUAAGUUAGAGGUGAAAUACCAGGGCUUAACCCUGGGGCUGCUUUUAAUACUGCAGGACUAGAGUCCGGAAGAGGAUAGCGGAAUUCCUAGUGUAGAGGUGAAAUUCGUAGAUAUUAGGAGGAACACCAGUGGCGAAGGCGGCUGUCUGGUCCGGUACUGACGCUGAGGUGCGAAAGC